Long non-coding RNA from Sarcophilus harrisii (Tasmanian devil), 982 nucleotides. RefSeq lists it as uncharacterized. The record is from RefSeq and is a predicted model, not a curated record. The transcript has 3 exons. NCBI's taxonomy places the organism in Eukaryota, Metazoa, Chordata, Mammalia, Dasyuromorphia, Dasyuridae.
UGGAUAUAACAUAAAAACUGAUAUGUAGAAUAUAUACAUAUGUACAGAAAAUAACUAGUAUGUUUACUCAGCUACAUACAAAUAUAAAUUUAUAUGUUUAGAAAUGUGUUUUUCUGCAUACUUCAGGUCUGAUGCUACCCAUAAAUAACAUAUCAUUGUUGUCUUACAAAAUAGUCACAGUUCUCCUUGCUCAAGAGUAGAAAUCAUUCAUGUUAAAUAGUAAAGAAUAUGAACUUCAUUUAUCUUUUUCCAUAUUUUUAAAAUAUAUUUUAAUAAUUUCGGGAGGGAGCAAUAAAAUUCCUAUAUCUUACCAGGUAGUCAAGUACAUAAUGAUAAUUUGUUUGAAAAACAUCUUAAGUUUUCAAAGUACAUUUAAGUACAUUAUGUCAUUUGAUUUUCUCAAGAAUUCAGGGAAGUAAGACAAGCAUUAGGAUUCCUUCUCCCAAGGUCACAGAACACAGCAACAGCAAAGUUGGACCUCAGAGUCAAGAUGGAAAAACUGAGGGAUCAAGAGAAUAAGUGGCUUGUCAGUAGAUGUGGAGUUAAUAAGUGGCAGAGGCAGAGUUUGAAUCUGCCAUACCAGCACAUUAAAUGCUAUAGCCUAGAUUCCUCACCUAAGGAUACCAGAUCUAAAAAGAGGUCUGAAUGCUUUUUAGCAUUCAAUUUCUACAGGGAUUCUCCAAUUCUAAUAUUUCAUCCCCUAAUGAUCCAAAGCAAGACCAAGUUAACAUUCUUUUAGCACUUCCAAGAAUAUACUAACUAGGCCAUUACAACAAAAAUGGGCUACCACAAGAUACCUGAUCUAGUAAAUGACUUUCAUCAUUAUAGGGUGAUAAUAAAAUUGGUCAGUUAAUGAUAAGGGAGUGUUCUUCAUCAGCAAUCUUGGACUUUGCUGAAAACAAACUACUAGAAACAUUAUUUGAUUAAAUUUAAUAAGUACUAUUGUUAGUGGAAUUGUGAAUAUAUCCAGCCAUUCUGGAGA